This 470-nucleotide small RNA is filed under the name Vigna angularis var. angularis. Its description in RNAcentral is "Non-protein coding transcript". The record is from RNAcentral. Lineage: Eukaryota; Viridiplantae; Streptophyta; Magnoliopsida; Fabales; Fabaceae.
GACGUGCUCUGUAAGCUCGGCGAGAAGUGCUCCCUUAGCGACUGCCGGAGAAUGAUCAGCAACGUUGACGCUGACGGUGACGGCAGCGUUAAUUUCGAGGAAUUCAAGAAGAUGAUGGCUCGCUCUUAAAAUCAUCGCGACUCCAUUGUUAAAAGUUAGAGAAUUGGGGCAAGAACUCAGUCCAAUCUUAAAAGAAAAACACAGUCCGAUGCAAAAGGCUUAGAAAUAUUUAUGAUAUCGCUGCUAGCAGUCAACUUGAAGUCGUUGAAGACUCCACAACAUUUAAAGGUGCAAUAAAGAAAAAGGACUACACUGCUGAGCAUAAAUGUACAGAGGAAAAUAUCAAUACAUGAAUAGUUUGAACACAUUUUUAGUUUUAAAUUAUUAAAGUAUUCGAUUAUGUCUUUUAUAUUUAAUAAGACGAUAUGUAGAAAUAACUAUAAUCAUAAACUUUUAUUGAUGAAUGAGUA